Molecule: ribosomal RNA, 253 nt
Filed under: uncultured bacterium
Lineage: Bacteria
Description: partial 16S ribosomal RNA
Rfam family: Bacterial small subunit ribosomal RNA
Source: RNAcentral
UACGUAGGGGGCAAGCGUUGUCCGGAAUCAUUGGGCGUAAAGAGCGCGUAGGCGGCCCAGUAAGUCCGCUCUGAAAGUCAGGGGCUCAACCCCUGGAUGCGGGUGGAUACUGCUGGGCUAGAGUCCGGAAGAGGUGAGUGGAAUUCCUGGUGUAGCGGUGAAAUGCGCAGAUAUCAGGAGGAACACCGAUGGCGAAGGCGGCCUUCUGGACAGUGACUGACGCUGAGACGCGAAAGCGUGGGGAGCAAACAGG